AUGGACGUCCUCACGGCGAUUUUCAGGAAGGCGGAGGAGGCAGGCCUCUUCGCCUCGCUUCACGAUCGCGGCAUACACCACCGGCUCUCAUUGUAUGCAAACGAUGCCAUCUUGCUCCUUAGGCCGUCGAUGGCUGAGAUGGACGCGGCAAAGCAACUCCUGGAGUGCUUUGGGGAGGCCACGGGGCUGCGGUGCAAUUUCUUGAAGAGCUCCAUCUCCACGAUCCGUUGUCAGGAGGAAGACAUUCAGCAGCUCCUCGCUCUGGCCGGCUGCAAAUUCCAGGCGCUACCUAUCACAUACCUUGGCCUCCCUCUUUCGCUUCGGGCCCUGACCCGUUCGGAGCUUCAACCCCUCAUCGAUCGGAUAGCGGCGCAGCUGCCAACUUGGAAAGCGGGCCACCUCCGUCAGUCCGGCAGACUCACCCUUGUCAACUGCAGGCUAUCGGCGAUGCCAAUCUUCCACCUUAUGGCCCUUGACCUGCCGCCCUGGUUCUUCAAAUGCAUCGACAAGCUUCGCAGAGGAUUCUUCUGGCGUGGUAUGGAGGACACAAAGGGGGGCUGUUGCCUCGUCGCCUGGCAUAUUGUCUGCUCGCCUAAAAUCUACGGCGGCCUGGGCGUCCUCAACCUACGUCUGUUAAACCAGGCCCUGCCCUUGCGUUAG
Molecule: ribosomal RNA, 660 nt
Filed under: Triticum aestivum (bread wheat)
Lineage: Eukaryota; Viridiplantae; Streptophyta; Magnoliopsida; Poales; Poaceae
Description: partial small subunit ribosomal RNA
Source: RNAcentral